GGGUAUAGCUCAGUGGUAGAGCACUUGCCUAGCACGUGUGAGGCACUGGGUUCAAUCUUCAGCACCACA
Molecule: transfer RNA, 69 nt
Filed under: Marmota monax (woodchuck)
Lineage: Eukaryota; Metazoa; Chordata; Mammalia; Rodentia; Sciuridae
Description: tRNA.Ala
Source: RNAcentral